RNAcentral lists this ribosomal RNA (1326 nucleotides) under Citrobacter freundii. Its description in RNAcentral is "partial 23S ribosomal RNA". It matches the Rfam family "Bacterial large subunit ribosomal RNA", at positions 911 to 2215 of the family's 2925-position model. Lineage: Bacteria; Pseudomonadati; Pseudomonadota; Gammaproteobacteria; Enterobacterales; Enterobacteriaceae. The record is from RNAcentral.
UGUUUCGGCUAGGGGGUCAUCCCGACUUACCAACCCGAUGCAAACUGCGAAUACCGAAGAAUGUUAUCACGGGAGACACACGGCGGGUGCUAACGUCCGUCGUGAAGAGGGAAACAACCCAGACCGCCAGCUAAGGUCCCAAAGUCAUGGUUAAGUGGGAAACGAUGUGGGAAGGCACAGACAGCCAGGAUGUUGGCUUAGAAGCAGCCAUCAUUUAAAGAAAGCGUAAUAGCUCACUGGUCGAGUCGGCCUGCGCGGAAGAUGUAACGGGGCUAAACCAUGCACCGAAGCUGCGGCAGCGACACUAUGUGUUGUUGGGUAGGGGAGCGUUCUGUAAGCCGUUGAAGGUGUAUCGUGAGGUAUGCUGGAGGUAUCAGAAGUGCGAAUGCUGACAUAAGUAACGAUAAUGCGGGUGAAAAACCCGCACGCCGGAAGACCAAGGGUUCCUGUCCAACGUUAAUCGGGGCAGGGUGAGUCGACCCCUAAGGCGAGGCCGAAAGGCGUAGUCGAUGGGAAACAGGUUAAUAUUCCUGUACUUGGUGUUACUGCGAAGGGGGGACGGAGAAGGCUAUGUUAGCCGGGCGACGGUUGUCCCGGUUUAAGCAUGUAGGCGGAGGUUCCAGGUAAAUCCGGUACCUUUUUAACGCUGAGGUGUGAUGACGAGGCACUACGGUGCUGAAGUAACAAAUGCCCUGCUUCCAGGAAAAGCCUCUAAGCAUCAGGUAACACGAAAUCGUACCCAAAACCGACACAGGUGGUCAGGUAGAGAAUACCAAGGCGCUUGAGAGAACUCGGGUGAAGGAACUAGGCAAAAUGGUGCCGUAACUUCGGGAGAAGGCACGCUGAUAUGUAGGUGAAGUGAUUUACUCAUGGAGCUGAAAUCAGUCGAAGAUACCAGCUGGCUGCAACUGUUUAUUAAAAACACAGCACUGUGCAAACACGAAAGUGGACGUAUACGGUGUGACGCCUGCCCGGUGCCGGAAGGUUAAUUGAUGGGGUUAUCCGUAAGGAGAAGCUCUUGAUCGAAGCCCCGGUAAACGGCGGCCGUAACUAUAACGGUCCUAAGGUAGCGAAAUUCCUUGUCGGGUAAGUUCCGACCUGCACGAAUGGCGUAAUGAUGGCCAGGCUGUCUCCACCCGAGACUCAGUGAAAUUGAACUCGCUGUGAAGAUGCAGUGUACCCGCGGCAAGACGGAAAGACCCCGUGAACCUUUACUAUAGCUUGACACUGAACACUGGUCCUUGAUGUGUAGGAUAGGUGGGAGGCUUUGAAGUGUGGACGCCAGUCUGCAUGGAGCCAUCCUUGAAAUACCACCCUUUAAUGGCU